UACGUUCUCGGGCCUUGUACACACCGCCCGUCACACCACGAAAGUUGAUUGGACCAGAAGUCACCCUUCUUUGGUUGCCGAAGGUCUGGUCAAUGAUUGGGGUG
Molecule: ribosomal RNA, 104 nt
Filed under: uncultured bacterium
Lineage: Bacteria
Description: partial 16S ribosomal RNA
Rfam family: Bacterial small subunit ribosomal RNA
Source: RNAcentral